This 253-nucleotide ribosomal RNA is filed under the name uncultured bacterium. RNAcentral describes it as "partial 16S ribosomal RNA". It matches the Rfam family "Bacterial small subunit ribosomal RNA", at positions 524 to 776 of the family's 1533-position model. The record is from RNAcentral.
UACAGAGGGGGCAAGCGUUGUUCGGAAUUACUGGGCGUAAAGGGCUCGUAGGCGGCCAACUAAGUCAGACGUGAAAUCCCUCGGCUUAACCGGGGAACUGCGUCUGAUACUGGAUGGCUUGAGUUUGGGAGAGGGAUGCGGAAUUCCAGGUGUAGCGGUGAAAUGCGUAGAUAUCGGAAGGAACACCAGUGGCGAAAGCGGCUUCCUGGUCCAGCACCGACGUUCAGGCACGAAAGCGUGGGGAGCAAACAGG